UAAAUCGGUGAUAUGUAUACAUAUGUCAAAGUAGCGUUGUUUCUGUGGGUUUUACGAAAAACGUUUCUGAUGUGAUUUCGAUCUUAGGUGAAAGUUGCUUGGAGUUACUCAUGGAGUGUUACCGAAGAUUAUUUCAUUACGAUCUAGUCGCAGAACGUUUUUCAUAGCACAUUCUCAUGGUACAUUCGUUUCUGGAACGAAUUGG
RNAcentral lists this long non-coding RNA (205 nucleotides) under Brassica napus (rape). Its description in RNAcentral is "long non-coding RNA (BNAP_LNC021328)". The record is from RNAcentral. Lineage: Eukaryota; Viridiplantae; Streptophyta; Magnoliopsida; Brassicales; Brassicaceae.